AAUAAGAUCAUUUUUCAAUUUUUUAAUACAAUAUUUUGACUCUUCUUCUUAUUUAAUUUUUUUUGCGUUUAAUAUUUUUAUUCUUACUAGAUGAUAAAACAUAAAUAGUACUUUAUGCGUGACUAAAUUUUUAAAUUUGUGUAUAAAUUUUUUAAAUAAAACGAAUGGUCAAACAUUGAACAUGAAAAA
This 189-nucleotide microRNA precursor is filed under the name Oryza brachyantha (malo sina). Its description in RNAcentral is "MIR812 microRNA precursor family". It matches the Rfam family "MIR812 microRNA precursor family". The record is from Rfam by way of RNAcentral. Lineage: Eukaryota; Viridiplantae; Streptophyta; Magnoliopsida; Poales; Poaceae.